GGGGGCGUUUUGGAUUCGACGGGGAUUGUUCGAGCAUGGACGGCGGGUCGUGGGGCUGCGCACACGUUAAUCACGCAGGUCUAAGUUUAACUGGCAAAGCUAAUCGCUUUACCUCACAAAGCAAGAUCGCUCUCGCUGCCUAAUCGCGCGAGACCGUUACAUGACGCGUUGCCUGUGCGCGCCCUGUAACGUCACCUGAGCAGGCUAGUCGAUGCCUUUGUUCGCGGGGCACCGGCGAAACCAUAGCGAACUUGCCUGUGCACCAGCGUGAUCGUCCGCGGGUGGCAGGGACUGUAGUAGACGGUCUACGCCCGUAGAUGUGCAUGUAGCGAGAUCUUCGGACGCGGGUUCGAUUCCCGUCGCCUCCACCA
Molecule: non-coding RNA, 371 nt
Organism: Alicyclobacillus hesperidum
Lineage: Bacteria; Bacillati; Bacillota; Bacilli; Caryophanales; Alicyclobacillaceae
Source: Rfam